RNAcentral lists this small RNA (168 nucleotides) under Chrysemys picta bellii (western painted turtle). RNAcentral describes it as "TUC338 (ENSCPBG00000026878.1)". The record is from RNAcentral. Lineage: Eukaryota; Metazoa; Chordata; Testudines; Emydidae.
UUGACAGCCCAGGAACCUCAUGUCUUCAGAUUCUCCACAGCACAGGUGCAACUUGGGUAGCAGCAGUGCAAGCUUUUCCACAUCUGGUCAGUGUGCUUGAACCCUAACUUAGAGAGAUCUGGGGAGGAGUGGAUAGGUGUCUCCAUGGCCCAUUCCAUUCAUACUGCU